UCUGGUUCUUUUAGUUUUGUGGUAACACCUAAUCCAUUUCGAACUUAGAAGUGAAAUACAAAACGGGUUAAUUUUUAUUUAGAGGGACACCUCUUGAGAACAUUUUCCUAGUGCCAGGU
Molecule: ribosomal RNA, 119 nt
Filed under: Monomorphina parapyrum
Lineage: Eukaryota; Euglenozoa; Euglenophyceae; Euglenales; Euglenaceae
Source: RNAcentral